ACGAAGGCAGCAGUGGGGAAUAUUGCACAAUGGGGGAAACCCUGAUGCAGCGACGCCGCGUGAGUGAAGAAGUUAUUCGUAAUGUAAAGCUCUAUCAGCAGGGAAGAAAAUGACGGUACCUGACUAAGAAGCCCCGGCUAACUACGUGCCAGCAGCCGCGGUAAUACGUAGGGGGCAAGCGUUAUCCGGAUUUACUGGGUGUAAAGGGAGCGCAGACGGCUUUGCAAGUCUGAUGUGAAAGGCAGGGGCUCAACUCCUGGACUGCAUUGGAAACUGUAGGGCUAGAGUGUCGGAGAGGUAAGCGGAAUUCCUAGUGUAGCGGUGAAAUGCGUAGAUAUUAGGAGGAACACCAGUGGCGAAGGCGGCUUACUGGACGAUCACUGACGUUGAGGCUCGAAAGCGUGGGGAGCAAACAGGAUUAGAUACCCUGGUA
This 433-nucleotide ribosomal RNA is filed under the name uncultured Lachnospiraceae bacterium. Its description in RNAcentral is "partial 16S ribosomal RNA". It matches the Rfam family "Bacterial small subunit ribosomal RNA", at positions 341 to 792 of the family's 1533-position model. The record is from RNAcentral. Lineage: Bacteria; Bacillati; Bacillota; Clostridia; Lachnospirales; Lachnospiraceae.